GACGAACGCUGGCGGCGUGCUUAACACAUGCAAGUCGAACGGAAAGGCCCUGCUUUUGUGGGGUGCUCGAGUGGCGAACGGGUGAGUAACACGUGAGUAACCUGCCCUUGACUUUGGGAUAACUUCAGGAAACUGGGGCUAAUACGGGAUAGGAGCUCCUGCUGCAUGGUGGGGGUUGGAAAGUUUCGGCGGUUGGGGAUGGACUCGCGGCUUAUCAGCUUGUUGGUGGGGUAGUGGCUUACCAAGGCUUUGACGGGUAGCCGGCCUGAGAGGGUGACCGGCCACAUUGGGACUGAGAUACGGCCCAGACUCCUACGGGAGGCAGCAGUGGGGAAUAUUGCACAAUGGGCGGAAGCCUGAUGCAGCAACGCCGCGUGCGGGAUGACGGCCUUCGGGUUGUAAACCGCUUUCGCCUGUGACGAAGCGUGAGUGACGGUAAUGGGUAAAGAAGCACCGGCUAACUACGUG
This 468-nucleotide ribosomal RNA is filed under the name uncultured bacterium. Its description in RNAcentral is "partial 16S ribosomal RNA". It matches the Rfam family "Bacterial small subunit ribosomal RNA", at positions 28 to 507 of the family's 1533-position model. The record is from RNAcentral.